This 166-nucleotide ribosomal RNA is filed under the name Prioria mannii. RNAcentral's name for it is "5.8S ribosomal RNA". It matches the Rfam family "5.8S ribosomal RNA". Rfam says of the family: 5.8S ribosomal RNA (5.8S rRNA) is a component of the large subunit of the eukaryotic ribosome. It is transcribed by RNA polymerase I as part of the 45S precursor that also contains 18S and 28S rRNA. Lineage: Eukaryota; Viridiplantae; Streptophyta; Magnoliopsida; Fabales; Fabaceae. The record is from RNAcentral.
AAYGACUCUCGGCAACAGAUAUCUCGGCUCUUGCAUCGAUGAAGAAUGUAGUGAAAUGCGAUACUUGAUAUGAAUUGCAGAAUCCCGUGAACCAUCGAGUCUUUGAACGUAAGUUGCGCCGAAGGCYAUUAGGCCGAGGGCACGUCUGGCURGGUGUCACACAACG